UCUUCAUUUCACAUACUCUCUCGCCCCUCAACCGGUCGAGAUAGUAUGUGAAAUGAAGAGA
This is a non-coding RNA of Pristionchus pacificus, 61 nucleotides long. Lineage: Eukaryota; Metazoa; Nematoda; Chromadorea; Rhabditida; Neodiplogasteridae. The record is from Rfam.